CCCUUAGAUGUUCUGGGCCGCACGCGCGCUACACUGACCGGUGCAACAAGCAUCCGUCCUUGGCCGACAGGCCCGGGCAAUCUUUGAACGCCGGUCGUGAUGGGGAUAGACUUUUGCAAUUUUUGGUCUUCAACGAGGAAUUCCUAGUAAACGCAAGUCAUCAACUUGCAUUGAUUACGUCCCUGCCCUUUGUACACACCGCCCGUCGCACCUACCGAUUGAAUGGUCCGGUGAAGCCUCCGGAUUGGCGCGCACCUCGGUGCCGCCGAGAAGUUGGCUAAACCUUACCAUUUAGAGGAAGGUGAAGUCGUAACA
This 315-nucleotide ribosomal RNA is filed under the name uncultured eukaryote. Its description in RNAcentral is "partial 18S ribosomal RNA". It matches the Rfam family "Eukaryotic small subunit ribosomal RNA", at positions 1470 to 1796 of the family's 1831-position model. The record is from RNAcentral.